CCCCUUCUUCUUCCUCUUCCUGCCGCCGCCGCCUGAGUUCCCUGCUCCGCCCUCCACCGCGCCGCCCGCGCUCCACCACGAGCCGCCUCCACCUCGCCGGCCGCUCCGCCCUCGCUCCCCCCGCUGCCAAGCUCCUCCGGCCGCGCCUCUCCACCACACAGACGCCGCCUCCAUCUCCCCGUCGCCCGCGCGCCUCUUCCUCCUACGCGCCCGGCGCCUCCCCUUGCUCCUGGCCGCCUCUCCCCAUCGCUGGCGACCGACUCCCGCGCCCAGGGCUCCCCGCGCCUGCCCGCGCCUCCGCCUCUGCCUCCGCCUGGCCGCCCGCGCGCCCCGUCUCCACCGAGCGCCGCCUCCACCUCGUCGCCGCGUCCGCCUCCCUCUUCCCCUGCUCCCUUUUACUCCGGCCUCCUCUGCUGCCCAGCGCUCGUGCGCCUCAUCGCCAAGCCCAAGCCAGCCGCUUGCUGUUGCCGCUGCUGUGUUGCCAUUGCUUUGCGACGAGACGCCUCGCUGCUGCAUGUGUUGCUGCCACACAUGGUCGGCACCGUGGAGACCAACAUCGUCUCGAACCUCCAAGCCGGUCCCGUGAACCACUACUUCCCUUACGACGACUAUGUGGCCUACAUCGCCUACAUGUACGACUACUUCGACGACGUUGACUACAUCGACUACGCCGUGGUAUGCUACAAAGAGGUUCCAGCAGAGCAGGUGAGCCGCUAGCUUCUUCAUGGAGCACGACGUUGGUUUCGAU
Molecule: RNA transcript, 748 nt
Organism: Brachypodium distachyon (stiff brome)
Lineage: Eukaryota; Viridiplantae; Streptophyta; Magnoliopsida; Poales; Poaceae
Exons: 3
Source: RefSeq, a predicted model, not a curated record